This 460-nucleotide ribosomal RNA is filed under the name uncultured bacterium. RNAcentral's name for it is "partial 16S ribosomal RNA". It matches the Rfam family "Bacterial small subunit ribosomal RNA", at positions 338 to 795 of the family's 1533-position model. The record is from RNAcentral.
CCUACGGGCGGCAGCAGUGGGGAAUAUUGCGCAAUGGGCGAAAGCCUGACGCAGCGACGCCGCGUGAGGGAUGACUGCCCUAUGGGUUGUAAACUUCUUUUAUAAAGGAAUAAAACGAGGCACGUGUGCCUUUUUGCAUGUACUUUAUGAAUAAGGAUCGGCUAACUCCGUGCCAGCAGCCGCGGUAAUACGGAGGAUCCGAGCGUUAUCCGGAUUUAUUGGGUUUAAAGGGAGCGUAGAUGGGUUGUUAAGUCAGUUGUGAAAGUUUGCGGCUCAACCGUAAAAUUGCAAUUGAUACUGGCAGUCGUGAGUACAGUUGAGGUAAGCGGAAUUCGUGGUGUAGCGGUGAAAUGCUUAGAUAUCACGAAGAACCCCGAUUGCGAAGGCAGCAUACCGGCGCUCAACUGACGCUCAUGCACGAAAGUGUGGGUAUCGAACAGGAUUAGAUACCCGGGUAGUC